Tetranychus urticae (two-spotted spider mite) is the source of this 898-nucleotide non-coding RNA. NCBI's taxonomy places the organism in Eukaryota, Metazoa, Arthropoda, Arachnida, Trombidiformes, Tetranychidae. The record is from RefSeq and is a predicted model, not a curated record.
AUCGAUCACAAAUAAAUAGUUGACUCCACCAAGGCAAAUCUACAAAGACUAGUAAAAAUAAAUGAUACCUGAUGCCUGUUUACUUUGAAUACCAAUAUCAGGAUGUCCUCGAAAUCAGAAGGUAACCAGGCACACUUCAUGUUCAAAAAUAUGAGAUGAAACAGAAUUCAAUAUUUUCCAAUAUUAUGGAAAUUUGAAUCAUCAGUUUCAUUAAAUCUAUCGAUGGUUAAUCUGAUUUGCCAAAAAAUACCAUUUCAUAGUAAAAUUCACUCCAACAGCAAUAAAAUCUAUCCAGAGUCAGAUUUACCUUCAAAAUGUCUGCCUUACCAAGACGGUCCAUGGACGAGGCAAAACAAGUUUCUCAAGUUGAUAACCUCGGAAAACGUCAUUAAUGAAUUAUCAAUGACAAUCAACUAAAGGUCAAAAUAAUACCGGAAAAAUAUCGAACUAAACAUGAAAAGUCUUCAAAUGAACAAAUUGAGAUCAAAGAAUCACAGUUGCAGCAAUUAAAGCAAUGAGAGUUUAUGGAAAAUUUUCCCAAUCAAAAGUCUAAAGUCUUCUUCUAAACAAUUUAACUUCCAAUAUUCCAAUUGUUUAUGAUUCAACAAGAGUCUCAUGAGCUUACACACAAUCAUGUAUUAACAUGAAGUAAGCCUUUCAUCUGACAGCUGUCACUCGAAACAAUCUCAAUGAUUGAACAUCUUGCAAGAUUAAUCAAAACUCAUUGAUUUCAGCUAUUCAUUAAUAUUACAAUAUCAUUGUAAAAACUCAUCAACGAGAAUAAGAUCAUCUCACCCUUAAUUUACCUUCAUUGACUCAUUACUAAUGGGUAUAUUUAAAUUAUAAUCAUCUUUAUUUAGAUACAGAAACAUGAAUAAAGACUUACAAUUUAUGUUAA